Molecule: ribosomal RNA, 568 nt
Filed under: uncultured archaeon
Lineage: Archaea
Description: bacterial SSU rRNA
Rfam family: Archaeal small subunit ribosomal RNA
Source: RNAcentral
CGCGAAUUCGCCCUUCGGGGUGCACCAGGCGCGAAAACUUUACAAUGCGGGAAACCGUGAUAAGGGGACACCGAGUGCCAGCAUCAUAUGCUGGCUGUCCGGGUGUGUAAAAUACACCCGUUAGCAAGGGCCGGGCAAGACCGGUGCCAGCCGCCGCGGUAACACCGGCGGCCCGAGUGGUGAUCGUGAUUAUUGGGUCUAAAGGGUCCGUAGCCGGUUUGGUCAGUCCUCCGGGAAAUCUGAUAGCUCAACUAUUAGGCUUUCGGGGGAUACUGCCAGGCUUGGAACCGGGAGAGGUAAGAGGUACUACAGGGGUAGGAGUGAAAUCUUGUAAUCCCUGUGGGACCACCUGUGGCGAAGGCGUCUUACCGGAACGGGUUCGACGGUGAGGGACGAAAGCUGGGGGCACGAACCGGAUUAGAUACCCGGGUAGUCCCAGCCGUAAACGAUGCUCGCUAGGUGUCAGGCAUGGCGCGACCGUGUCUGGUGCCGCAGGGAAGCCGUGAAGCGAGCCACCUGGGAAGUACGGCCGCAAGGCUGAAACUUAAAGGAAUUGGCGGGGGAGCAC